GCCUGGCUGGCUCAGUCAGUGAAGUGUGUGACUCUUGAGCUCAGGGUUGUGAGUUCGAGUCUCAUGUUGGGUG
This 73-nucleotide transfer RNA is filed under the name Canis lupus familiaris (dog). It matches the Rfam family "tRNA". Rfam says of the family: Transfer RNA (tRNA) molecules are approximately 80 nucleotides in length. The record is from Rfam by way of RNAcentral. Lineage: Eukaryota; Metazoa; Chordata; Mammalia; Carnivora; Canidae.